Molecule: long non-coding RNA, 724 nt
Organism: Zea mays
Lineage: Eukaryota; Viridiplantae; Streptophyta; Magnoliopsida; Poales; Poaceae
Exons: 5
Source: RefSeq, a predicted model, not a curated record
UAUAGUACAGGAAAUAGACAUCGGAGCAGCUCCUAUGUUCCAUUGAAGGACGAAGGCAAUUCAAUUCUGAAUGAUAAGAAAAAUACCAAGAUUCAGCUUGGGAUAAAAAAGAUUUGGUCUCACCCACUUGAGACUGUAUGAACUAUUAUGGUGGCGUGGACUGUGGAUCUUAACUGACCUGAACACAGCCUGGAACACAUCAGGCCACUGAUAUUUCCUGCUAAGAGGCGCAAGGUUGUCACUAUGAAGAAGAGGAAGGAAAGGGUGUCCUGAAUCAACCCUUCCUUCAGUGAUGGGUAUCACUGCAGAAGAAAGCACUGCACUGAUACCUGCUGCUUCAGAAAGUAAAGCACAAAAGGAUCUUACUCCUGUUGGAAGAGAUGCUUUGUCACGAAUUAGAGGUCGAGAUUUUGACUCAGCAUGUGGUCUUGCUGAGGAUACUGGGGCCUUGGUUGUAUGGCAAGCACCACCCAUCUGUUCAUGUAAUUUCUUUUGUAUUAUCUUGGGCUGACAGUAGUACUUUCUAUGAUUGAAGAAAUGGAUUCCUGUUAAGGAGAAAUUGGUUGUCCUCAAGAAAAAUGUGGAACCUUAUGUACAGAAGGUAUCGACAAGAUCAGUGAAGUUUUAUGAACGGAGGGAGGAUUUUCUAUCUCCGCUGUUUAGCCUGGAGUCAAAGGAGGCAGAAGGAGAUGAAGACGAGUGAGAUUGAGAGGAUCAAGGAAAU